This 70-nucleotide transfer RNA is filed under the name Bacillus cereus. Its description in RNAcentral is "tRNA-Asp". It matches the Rfam family "tRNA". From Rfam's summary of the family: Transfer RNA (tRNA) molecules are approximately 80 nucleotides in length. The record is from RNAcentral. Lineage: Bacteria; Bacillati; Bacillota; Bacilli; Caryophanales; Bacillaceae.
CCCGUGGUGUAGUGGUUAACAUGCCUGCCUGUCACGCAGGAGAUCGCCGGUUCGACCCCGGAGCACGGUA